AGUGAACGCUGGCGGCAGGCCUAACACAUGCAAGUCGAACGAGUGGCGGGCGGGGGAGGAAUGUCGGGGAAACUGCAUGAAGGGGGGGGAUAACUACUGGAAACGGUAGCUAAGACCGCAUACCAUAAGAUGGGGCCAGAUGGGGUUAGCUCGUGGGUGGGGUAACGGCUCACCAACGCAAGGAUCCCUAGCUGGUUUGAUAGGAUGACCAGCCACCCUAGCACUGAGACCCGGGCCCGAGCCCUACGGCAGGUAGCAGUGGCGAAUUUUGCACGGUUGGCGCCAGCCUGCUCCAGCCCUGCCGCGUGUAUUAAGAAGUCCUUCGGGUUGUAAAGUCCUUUCAGCGGGGAGGCGUUAUCCGCUGAAGAAGCACCGGCUAACCCCGUGCCAGCCGCCGCGGUAAUUC
This 406-nucleotide ribosomal RNA is filed under the name uncultured bacterium. RNAcentral's name for it is "partial 16S ribosomal RNA". It matches the Rfam family "Bacterial small subunit ribosomal RNA", at positions 29 to 526 of the family's 1533-position model. The record is from RNAcentral.